This 76-nucleotide transfer RNA is filed under the name Pseudomonadota bacterium. Its description in RNAcentral is "tRNA-Asn". It matches the Rfam family "tRNA". Rfam says of the family: Transfer RNA (tRNA) molecules are approximately 80 nucleotides in length. Their secondary structure includes four short double-helical elements and three loops (D, anti-codon, and T loops). Lineage: Bacteria; Pseudomonadati; Pseudomonadota. RNAcentral also lists the same sequence under 2 other names. The record is from RNAcentral.
UCCUCGAUAGCUCAGUCGGUAGAGCAGGUGACUGUUAAUCACCGGGUCGUAGGUUCAAGUCCUACUCGAGGAGCCA